UUGAUGGUUUGUGCUAUUUAAUUUAAUUUAAUUUAAACGCGCUUCAUCUUCCGCUUCUUUGGUUUUAGUUCCUUCUUUGUUCCUUUCUUGGAUCUCUUGUCGCCUCAUCGAACCUUUUGAUAAACUGGUUUGGUUUGGUUUGAUCUCCCGUGCGAAUCGCUUCGUCCUCUGCCGUAAAUUCCAGUUCCAGGUGAGACCCGGUUUCUUGAUGUCGCUAAAGUAGCGAAGGAUCGAUGCGGGGUUUUCUUCGUUUCGAUUCUUGUAUAUGAUUGUUUCUUUAGAUUUCUCUUCCUCGUGUGAUUGUUCGCUUUUUCGUUGGGGUCCAAGAAAGUGGCGAAGGCUCGAUGCGGGGUUUUCCUCGUUUCGAUUCUUGUAUGUUUCUGUUUUCCAAGUGGCGAAGGAUCGAUGUGAGGUUUUCUCGGGUUCGAUUCUUGUAUGUGUCUGUUUCCAAGUGACGAAGGAUCGAUGUGAGGUUUUCUUCGUUUCGAUUCUUGUAUGUGUCUGUUUCCAAGUGGCGAAGGAUCGAUGUGAGGUUUUCUUGGGUUCGAUUCUUGUAUGUGUCUGUUUCCAAGUGGCGACGGAUCGAUGUGCGGUUUUCUUCGUUUCGAUUCUUGUCUGUGUCUUUUUCGCGUGAUCUUGUGACGAGUAGUUCGCUUUUUGUUGGGGUCCAAGAAAGUGGCGAAGGAUCGAUGUGGGGUUUUCUUCAUCGAUCGAUUUGCUUCGUCUCCGAGUCAUGGAAUUAUCCGGACGCUGGAGAACAGAUUCCAGGAAGAAUUGUGUCAUAUAUCGGUGCCAAUGAGUUCUAAGAACAUCCACGAAGGUGCUAAGAAGGAAAUCACUUCAUGGCAGGAGACAUCAACUUAGGACAAAAUAGCCAAAAAUAAAAUAUGAUGAUGAGGAAACCAUGAAACUCACUUUUGCGGAUAUUUCUCAAGUGAAUUUUCCUGCCAUUUCUGAUUUUUUUUACCUUUUAACUAUUUAAUGAUGUGAAAGUUCUUCAUGUCAGAACGUGUUGAUGAUAGCUUGACUUGGCAACACUUAUUUCUCAAA
This is a long non-coding RNA of Musa acuminata subsp. malaccensis (wild Malaysian banana), 1050 nucleotides long. RefSeq lists it as uncharacterized. The record is from RefSeq and is a predicted model, not a curated record. NCBI's taxonomy places the organism in Eukaryota, Viridiplantae, Streptophyta, Magnoliopsida, Zingiberales, Musaceae.